Molecule: ribosomal RNA, 116 nt
Filed under: Bacillus subtilis
Lineage: Bacteria; Bacillati; Bacillota; Bacilli; Caryophanales; Bacillaceae
Also listed under: 4 other names
Source: RNAcentral
UCUGGUGAUGAUGGCGGAGAGGUCACACCCGUUCCCAUGCCGAACACGGAAGUUAAGCUCUUCAGCGCCGAUGGUAGUCGGGGGUUUCCCCCUGUGAGAGUAGGACAUCGCCAGGC